Molecule: ribosomal RNA, 517 nt
Filed under: uncultured bacterium
Lineage: Bacteria
Description: partial 16S ribosomal RNA
Rfam family: Bacterial small subunit ribosomal RNA
Source: RNAcentral
AACGAACGCUGGCGGCGUGGAUAAGACAUGCAAGUCGAACGGGACUUUUCGUUGUAGCAAUACGAUGGAAAGUCUAGUGGCGAACGGGUGCUUAACACGUGGGCAACCUGCCAUGAAGUGGGGGAUAGCUCGCCGAAAGGCGAAUUUAUACCGCAUGUGAUUAGAGAGGACAUCCUUUCGAAAUUAAAGUCGGGGCAACCUGACGCUUCUUGUGGGGCCCGCGGCCUAUCAGCUAGUUGGUGAGGUAACGGCUCACCAAGGCUUUGACGGGUAGCUGGUCUGAGGGGACGACCAGCCACACCGGGACUGAGACACGGCACAGACACCUACGGGUGGCAGCAGUCGAGAAUUUUUGACAAUGGGGGAAACCCUGAUCGAGCGACGCCGCGUGGAGGAUGAAGGUCUUCGGAUUGUAAACUCCUGUCAUUGGGGAACAAUGCACAGAUAUUAACUGUAUCUGUGUUGAUAGUACCCGAAGAGGAAGAGACGGCUAACUCUGUGCCAGCAGCCGCGGUAA